RNAcentral lists this transfer RNA (83 nucleotides) under Candidatus Woesebacteria bacterium. RNAcentral's name for it is "tRNA-Ser". It matches the Rfam family "tRNA". Rfam says of the family: Transfer RNA (tRNA) molecules are approximately 80 nucleotides in length. The record is from RNAcentral. Lineage: Bacteria; Candidatus Woeseibacteriota.
GGAGAGCUGGCAGAGUGGUCAAUCGCAACAGUCUUGAAAACUGUGACUUUCGGGUCCCGUGGGUUCGAAUCCCUCGCUCUCCG